Prunus persica (peach) is the source of this 197-nucleotide long non-coding RNA. RefSeq lists it as uncharacterized. The transcript is spliced from 3 exons. NCBI's taxonomy places the organism in Eukaryota, Viridiplantae, Streptophyta, Magnoliopsida, Rosales, Rosaceae. The record is from RefSeq and is a predicted model, not a curated record.
CCUUGGGCCGCCCGGAACUAGCUGGAAACUGGAGAUUUCCGCCGGUUUUCAGUCGAAACUUCAUCUCCUUCGUUCUCCUUCGUUUCUCAACCAAAUCGUUCGAGUAAGGCACCAGAGGACCGGCAGAACCACAAGAGGGACCUUCAAAGGGUCCAGCUAGCUCGGACCAGCAAGCGGCUCGAGUCGACUUGGUGUCA